Long non-coding RNA from Gossypium arboreum, 494 nucleotides. RefSeq lists it as uncharacterized. Lineage: Eukaryota; Viridiplantae; Streptophyta; Magnoliopsida; Malvales; Malvaceae. The transcript is spliced from 2 exons. The record is from RefSeq and is a predicted model, not a curated record.
AGCAAAUCUUUUAAUUAAAAUGAACCAAAGCUUUGAAUUCUGCUAGGGUAUCAUUUAGCAGCCACCGAACCACCAUCCAAUUUGGUGGUCGAUGGUGCGCCAACAAUGACUAAAUACUACCAACGAAGGCCACACCCAUGGAGAGCUGGUUCUAUGGAAGUGUGGGACUGCUGUACGGAGGAGGAGGUCGUGGAGGCUGUGCGUGGGAACCAUUCGUGGGAGCCCGAUCUACUGCUAUUCUAGUGUAUUCCAGAAACCUCUAGGGUUUCUGGUGUUUUCUGUUGUUGGGCCUUUUUAGGUCAUUUUGGGUUUGGGCCAUUGUAAUUAGGUCUAAGUUUUGGGCUGGGAUUUGGGCUGUUUGUUAAUUGGGUAAGUCUUAGUAACUGGGCUAAGUGGUUUGGGUUUAAUGGUUAAGUUGGGUUUUAAUGUUUGGGCUGUUAUUUUUUGGGGUGUAAAUGGACUUUGGACCCAUAAAUAAUUUGGUUUAUUGUUUA